Molecule: ribosomal RNA, 484 nt
Filed under: uncultured bacterium
Lineage: Bacteria
Description: partial 16S ribosomal RNA
Rfam family: Bacterial small subunit ribosomal RNA
Source: RNAcentral
AUUGAACGCUGGCGGCAUGCCUUACACAUGCAAGUCGAACGGCAGCUCGGGCUUCGGCCUGGCGGCGAGUGGCGAACGGGUGAGUAAUGCAUCGGAACGUGCCCAGUAGUGGGGGAUAGCCCGCCGAAAGCCGGAUUAAUACCCCAUACGACCUGAGGGUGAAAGCGGGGGACCGAAAGGCCUCGCGCUAUUGGAGCGGCCGAUGUCGGAUUAGCUAGUUGGUGGGGUAAAGGCUUACCAAGGCGACGAUCCGUAGCUGGUCUGAGAGGACGACCAGCCACACUGGGACUGAGACACGGCCCAGACUCCUACGGGAGGAAGCAGUGGGGAAUUUUGGACGAUGGGGGCAGUCCGGAUCCAGCCAUGCCGCGUGAGGGAAGAAGGCGUUCGGGUUGUAAACCGCUUUUGUUCGGAAAGAAAUCCUCUGGGCUAAUACCCCGGGGGGAUGACGGUACCGGAAGAAUAAGCACCGGCUAACUACGUG